RNAcentral lists this ribosomal RNA (327 nucleotides) under uncultured eukaryote. RNAcentral describes it as "partial 18S ribosomal RNA". It matches the Rfam family "Eukaryotic small subunit ribosomal RNA", at positions 1470 to 1796 of the family's 1831-position model. The record is from RNAcentral.
CCCUUAGAUGUUCUGGGCCGCACACGCGCUACACUGAAGGAGGCAGCGUGUACUCCUGGAUCGAAAGAUUUGGGUAACCCGCGAAUCUCCUUCGUGCUAGGGAUUGAGGUUUGCAAUUAUCCUUCAUGAACGAGGAAUUCCCAGUAAGUGCAAGUCAUAAGCUUGCGCUGACUACGUCCCUGCCCUUUGUACACACCGCCCGUCGCUACUACCGAUUGAAUGAUUUAGUGAGGACUUCGGACUGGGACCGAUGCGGCUUUCGGGCUGCGUCGGUAUUCUGGAAAGAUGUCCAAACUGUAUCAUUGAGAGGAAGUAAAAGUCGUAACA